GGCCGAUUGCUACGGUUACGCGGCCGGUAGUCCUGCGAUGGCGUGCAUCAGAGAGAUGGUCAGCCUCCGCGCCUCACCAGCCGAGCGUAUGUAUGAUCUGCGUGCAUGCGUCUGCCACAGCGUGUGAGUAGAAGUCGGAAGACAACUUUGUGUAGUCGGGUCUCGACUUCCGCCUUUUAUAGGGGGUCCAGUGAUGGAACUCUGGCUUGCAGGACCCUCUGAUUCCAGACACCAUACAUAGACGUUUACAAGAAAUGCGGAGAUAAAAACAGCUGCUCCCAAAGUCAACCAUUUGGGUCCUUAACAGCAGAGAGUCGGUUAGUCGCUCCCGGCGUCGAUGAGCUUUUAUUCAUGCUUAUACUGCUGUAAGUCGUUUUACUUUAAAUAAAUGAAUAAAUAAAUAAAUACUGGCAGUUUGCUUCUGGGAAA
Grammomys surdaster is the source of this 429-nucleotide long non-coding RNA. RefSeq lists it as uncharacterized. The transcript has 3 exons. Lineage: Eukaryota; Metazoa; Chordata; Mammalia; Rodentia; Muridae. The record is from RefSeq and is a predicted model, not a curated record.